GUGAGGAAUAUUGGUCAAUGGGCGAGAGCCUGAACCAGCCAUGUCGCGUGAAGGAUGAAGGUCCUAUGGAUUGUAAACUUCUUUUGCAGGAGGGUAAAGUGAGCUACGUGUAGUUCAUUGCAAGUACCCUGCGAAUAAGCAUCGGCUAACUCCGUGCCAGCAGCCGCGGUAAUACGGAGGAUGCGAGCGUUAUCCGGAUGUAUUGGGUUUAAAGGGUGCGUAGGCGGACUAAUUAGUCAGCGGUGAAAUUUUGCGGCUCAACCGUAAAACUGCCGUUGAAACUGUUAGUCUUGAGUGCGGUAGAGGUAGGCGGAAUGUGUGGUGUAGCGGUGAAAUGCUUAGAUAUCACACAGAACACCGAUUGCGUAGGCAGCUUACUGGAGCGCAACUGACGCUGAGGCACGAAAGCGUGGGGAUCGAACAGGAUUAGAUACCCUUGUAGUCC
RNAcentral lists this ribosomal RNA (445 nucleotides) under uncultured bacterium. RNAcentral's name for it is "partial 16S ribosomal RNA". It matches the Rfam family "Bacterial small subunit ribosomal RNA", at positions 354 to 796 of the family's 1533-position model. The record is from RNAcentral.